RNAcentral lists this ribosomal RNA (145 nucleotides) under bacterium Fw70-65. RNAcentral's name for it is "partial 16S rRNA". It matches the Rfam family "Bacterial small subunit ribosomal RNA", at positions 340 to 478 of the family's 1533-position model. The record is from RNAcentral.
UACGGGAGGCAGCAGUGGGGAAUUUUGGACAAUGGGGGCAACCCUGAUCCAGCAAUGCCGCGUGAGUGAAGAAGGCCUUCGGGUUGUAAAGCUCUUUUGUCAGGGAAGAAACAGCAGCUCUAACACAGUCUGCGAAUGACGGUAC